Molecule: ribosomal RNA, 373 nt
Filed under: uncultured organism
Description: partial 16S ribosomal RNA
Rfam family: Bacterial small subunit ribosomal RNA
Source: RNAcentral
GUAGGUGGCAAGCGUUGUCCGGAAUUAUUGGGCGUAAAGCGCGCGCAGGUGGUUCUUUAAGUCUGAUGUGAAAGCCCCCGGGCUCAACCGGGGAGGGUCAUUGGAAACUGGGGAACUUGAGUGCAGGAGAGGAAAGUGGAAUUCCACGUGUAGCGGUGAAAUGCGUAGAUAUGUGGAGGAACACCAGUGGCGAAGGCGACUUUCUGGCCUGUAACUGACACUGAGGCGCGAAAGCGUGGGGAGCAAACAGGAUUAGAUACCCUGGUACUCCACGCCGUAAACGAUGAGUGCUAAGUGUUGGGGGGUUUCCGCCCCUCAGUGCUGCAGCUAACGCAUUAAGCACUCCGCCUGGGGAGUACGGUCGCAAAGACUG